Molecule: ribosomal RNA, 2890 nt
Filed under: Acinetobacter baumannii
Lineage: Bacteria; Pseudomonadati; Pseudomonadota; Gammaproteobacteria; Moraxellales; Moraxellaceae
Description: bacterial LSU rRNA
Rfam family: Bacterial large subunit ribosomal RNA
Source: RNAcentral
UCAAGUAAUUAAGUGCAUGUGGUGGAUGCCUUGGCAGUCAGAGGCGAUGAAAGACGUGAUAGCCUGCGAAAAGCUCCGGGGAGGCGGCAAAUAUCCUUUGAUCCGGAGAUGUCUGAAUGGGGGAACCCACCUACUUUAAGGUAGGUAUUGCAACAUGAAUACAUAGUGUUGCAAGGCGAACGAGGGGAAGUGAAACAUCUCAGUACCCUUAGGAAAAGAAAUCAAUUGAGAUUCCCUCAGUAGCGGCGAGCGAACGGGGAUCAGCCCAUUAAGUUAUGUGUGUUUUAGUGGAACGCUCUGGGAAGUGCGAACGUAGAGGGUGAUAUUCCCGUACACGAAAGGGCACACAUAAUGAUGACGAGUAGGGCGAGGCACGUGAAACCUUGUCUGAAUAUGGGGGGACCAUCCUCCAAGGCUAAAUACUCCUGACUGACCGAUAGUGAACCAGUACCGUGAGGGAAAGGCGAAAAGAACCCCUGUGAGGGGAGUGAAAUAGAUCCUGAAACCGCAUGCAUACAAGCAGUGGGAGCACCUUCGUGGUGUGACUGCGUACCUUUGUAUAAUGGGUCAGCGACUUAUAUUCAGUAGCGAGGUUAACCGUAUAGGGGAGCCGUAGAGAAAUCGAGUCUUAAUAGGGCGUUUAGUUGCUGGGUAUAGACCCGAAACCAGGCGAUCUAUCCAUGAGCAGGUUGAAGGUUGGGUAACACUAACUGGAGGACCGAACCCACUGUCGUUGAAAAGCCAGGGGAUGACUUGUGGAUAGGGGUGAAAGGCUAAUCAAGCCUGGUGAUAGCUGGUUCUCCCCGAAAGCUAUUUAGGUAGCGCCUCGGACGAAUACCAUAGGGGGUAGAGCACUGUUUCGGCUAGGGGGUCAUCCCGACUUACCAAACCGAUGCAAACUCCGAAUACCUAUGAGUACUAUCCGGGAGACAGACUGCGGGUGCUAACGUCCGUAGUCAAGAGGAAAACAAUCCAGACCGCCAGCUAAGGCCCCAAAAUCAUAGUUAAGUGGGAAACGAUGUGGGAAGGCAUAGACAGCUAGGAGGUUGGCUUAGAAGCAGCCACCCUUUAAAGAAAGCGUAAUAGCUCACUAGUCGAGUCGGCCUGCGCGGAAGAUGUAACGGGGCUAAAACUAUGUGCCGAAGCUGCGGAUGUAUACUUUGUAUACGUGGUAGGGGAGCGUUCUGUAAGCCGAUGAAGGUGUGUUGAGAAGCAUGCUGGAGGUAUCAGAAGUGCGAAUGCUGACGUGAGUAACGACAAAACGGGUGAAAAACCCGUUCGCCGAAAGACCAAGGGUUCCAGUCCAACGUUAAUCGGGGCUGGGUGAGUCGACCCCUAAGGCGAGGCCGAAAGGCGUAGUCGAUGGGAAAAUGGUUAAUAUUCCAUUACUUCUGUGUAAUGCGAUGAGAGGACGGAGAAGGCUAAAUCAGCCUGGCGUUGGUUGUCCAGGUGAAAGGAUGUAGGCAUGUAUCUUAGGCAAAUCCGGGGUACUCUAUGCUGAGAUCUGAUAGCAAGCUGUACUUGUACAGCGAAGUGGUUGAUGCCAUGCUUCCAGGAAAAGUCUCUAAGCUUCAGUUACACAGGAAUCGUACCCGAAACCGACACAGGUGGUCAGGUCGAGUAGACCAAGGCGCUUGAGAGAACUCUGCUGAAGGAACUAGGCAAAAUGGUACCGUAACUUCGGGAGAAGGUACGCUGUUGUUGGUGAUGGAACUCGCUUCCUGAGCUGACGACAGCCGCAGAAACCAGGCCGCUGCAACUGUUUAUUAAAAAACAUAGCACUCUGCAAACACGAAAGUGGACGUAUAGGGUGUGAUGCCUGCCCGGUGCUGGAAGGUUAAUUGAUGGGGUUAGCGUAAGCGAAGCUCUUGAUCGAAGCCCCAGUAAACGGCGGCCGUAACUAUAACGGUCCUAAGGUAGCGAAAUUCCUUGUCGGGUAAGUUCCGACCUGCACGAAUGGCAUAAUGAUGGCGGCGCUGUCUCCAGCAGAGGCUCAGUGAAAUCGAAAUCGCUGUGAAGAUGCAGUGUACCCGCGGCUAGACGGAAAGACCCCGUGAACCUUUACUGCAGCUUGACACUGAACUUUGACCUUACUUGUGUAGGAUAGGUGGGAGGCUUUGAAGCUGGAACGCUAGUUCCAGUGGAGCCGUCCUUGAAAUACCACCCUGGUAAUGUUGAGGUUCUAACUCUGUCCCGUGAUCCGGGACGAGGACCGUGUCUGGUGGGUAGUUUGACUGGGGCGGUCUCCUCCUAAAGAGUAACGGAGGAGUACGAAGGUGCGCUCAGCGUGGUCGGAAAUCACGCGUAGAGUAUAAAGGCAAAAGCGCGCUUAACUGCGAGACCCACAAGUCGAGCAGGUACGAAAGUAGGUCUUAGUGAUCCGGUGGUUCUGUAUGGAAGGGCCAUCGCUCAACGGAUAAAAGGUACUCUGGGGAUAACAGGCUGAUACCGCCCAAGAGUUCAUAUCGACGGCGGUGUUUGGCACCUCGAUGUCGGCUCAUCUCAUCCUGGGGCUGAAGCAGGUCCCAAGGGUAUGGCUGUUCGCCAUUUAAAGAGGUACGCGAGCUGGGUUUAGAACGUCGUGAGACAGUUCGGUCCCUAUCUACCGUGGGCGCUGGAAAUUUGAGAGGAUCUGCUCCUAGUACGAGAGGACCAGAGUGGACGAACCUCUGGUGUACCGGUUGUGACGCCAGUCGCAUCGCCGGGUAGCUAUGUUCGGAAGGGAUAACCGCUGAAAGCAUCUAAGCGGGAAGCCUACCUCAAGAUAAGAUUUCCCUAGGACUUUAUGUCCUCUAAAGAGCCGUUCGAGACUAGGACGUUGAUAGGUUGGAUGUGGAAGCAUAGUGAUAUGUGAAGCUGACCAAUACUAAUUGCUCGUGAGGCUUGACUA